CCUACGGGAGGCAGCAGUGGGGAAUUUUGGACAAUGGGCGCAAGCCUGAUCCAGCAAUGCCGCGUGAGUGAAGAAGGCCUUCGGGUUGUAAAGCUCUUUUGUCAGGGAAGAAAAGGGAUUGGCUAAUAUCUGGUCCUCAUGACGGUACCUGAAGAAUAAGCACCGGCUAACUACGUGCCAGCAGCCGCGGUAAUACGUAGGGUGCAAGCGUUAAUCGGAAUUACUGGGCGUAAAGCGUGCGCAGGCGGUUUUGUAAGACUGUCGUGAAAUCCCCGGGCUUAACCUGGGAAUGGCGAUGGUGACUGCAAGGCUAGAGUUUGGCAGAGGGGGGUAGAAUUCCACGUGUAGCAGUGAAAUGCGUAGAUAUGUGGAGGAACACCGAUGGCGAAGGCAGCCCCCUGGGUCAAAACUGACGCUCAUGCACGAAAGCGUGGGGAGCAAACAGGAUUAGAUACCCUGGUAGUCCACGCCCUAAACGAUGUCUACUAGUUGUCGGGUCUUAAUUGACUUGGUAACGCAGCUAACGCGUGAAGUAGACCGCCUGGGGAGUACGGUCGCAAGAUUAAAACUUAAGGAAUUGACGG
Molecule: ribosomal RNA, 584 nt
Filed under: uncultured bacterium
Lineage: Bacteria
Description: bacterial SSU rRNA
Rfam family: Bacterial small subunit ribosomal RNA
Source: RNAcentral